Molecule: ribosomal RNA, 832 nt
Filed under: uncultured bacterium
Lineage: Bacteria
Description: bacterial SSU rRNA
Rfam family: Bacterial small subunit ribosomal RNA
Source: RNAcentral
UGAACGUUGGCGGCGUGGAUUAGGCAUGCAAGUCGAGCGAGAACCCGCAAGGGGGACAGCGGCGAACGGGGUAGGAAUAUCUAGGUAACGUACCCUCGGGGCGAGGACAGCCACGGGAAACUGUGGGUAAUACUCGAUAAACUUCCCAAUCAUUAUCGGAGGGGAAGCAAUGGGUGUGAUUCCACCUGAGGAGCGGCUUAGACAGUAUCAGCUAGUUGGUGAGGUAACGGCUCACCAAGGCUACGACGCUUAGGGGGUGUGAGAGCAUGGCCCCCACCACUGGCACUGAGACACUGGCCAGACACCUACGGGUGGCUGCAGUCGAGAAUCUUCGGCAAUGGACGCAAGUCUGACCGAGCGACGCCGCGUGCGGGAUGAAGGCCUUCGGGUUGUAAACCGCUGUCAGAGGGGAUGAAAUGUACGGGGGUACUCCCCUGUACUUGACAGAGCCUCAGAGGAAGCACGGGCUAAGUUCGUGCCAGCAGCCGCGGUAAUACGAACUGUGCGAACGUUAUUCGGAAUCACUGGGCUUAAAGGGUGCGUAGGCGGUUAUCUAAGUCAGGUGUGAAAUCUCUCGGCUCAACCGGGAAACUGCGCUUGAAACUGGGUGACUGGAGGGAUGCAGGGGUGUGUGGAACUUCCGGUGGAGCGGUGAAAUGUGUAGAUAUCGGAAGGAACGCCAGCAGUGAAAGCGGCACACUGGGCAUUUACUGACGCUGAGGCACGAAAGCUAGGGGAGUGAACGGGAUUAGAUACCCCGGUAAUCCUAGCCGUAAACACUGAGCACUGGGGGAGGGAGGUUUCGGCCUUCUUUCCCGUAGCGAAAGCGUAA